This 465-nucleotide ribosomal RNA is filed under the name uncultured bacterium. RNAcentral describes it as "partial 16S ribosomal RNA". It matches the Rfam family "Bacterial small subunit ribosomal RNA", at positions 28 to 507 of the family's 1533-position model. The record is from RNAcentral.
GACGAACGCUGGCGGCGUGCUUAACACAUGCAAGUCGAACGGAAAGGCCCCCUUGUGGGGUACUCGAGUGGCGAACGGGUGAGUAACACGUGAGUAACCUACCCUUUACUUUGGGAUAACUUCAGGAAACUGGGGCUAAUACCGGAUAGGAGCUCCUGCUGCAUGGUGGGGGUUGGAAAGUUUCGGCGGUUGGGGAUGGACUCGCGGCUUAUCAGCUUGUUGGUGGGGUAGUGGCUCACCAAGGCUUUGACGGGUAGCCGGCCUGAGAGGGUGACCGGCCACAAUGGGACUGAGAUACGGCCCAGACUCCUACGGGAGGCAGCAGUGGGGAAUAUUGCACAAUGGGCGGAAGCCUGAUGCAGCAACGCCGCGUGCGGGAUGACGGCCUUCGGGUUGUAAACCGCUUUCGCCUGUGACGAAGCGUGAGUGACGGUAAUGGGUAAAGAAGCACCGGCUAACUACGUG